Molecule: ribosomal RNA, 489 nt
Filed under: uncultured bacterium
Lineage: Bacteria
Description: partial 16S ribosomal RNA
Rfam family: Bacterial small subunit ribosomal RNA
Source: RNAcentral
UUGAACGCUGGCGGCAGGCCUAACACAUGCAAGUCGAACGGUAACAGGAAGAAGCUUGCUUCUUUGCUGACGAGUGGCGGACGGGUGAGUAAUGUCUGGGAAACUGCCUGAUGGAGGGGGAUAACUACUGGAAACGGUAGCUAAUACCGCAUAACGUCGCAAGACCAAAGAGGGGGACCUUCGGGCCUCUUGCCAUCGGAUGUGCCCAGAUGGGAUUAGCUAGUAGGUGGGGUAACGGCUCACCUAGGCGACGAUCCCUAGCUGGUCUGAGAGGAUGACCAGCCACACUGGAACUGAGACACGGUCCAGACUCCUACGGGAGGCAGCAGUGGGGAAUAUUGCACAAUGGGCGCAAGCCUGAUGCAGCCAUGCCGCGUGUAUGAAGAAGGCCUUCGGGUUGUAAAGUACUUUCAGCAGGGAGGAAGGGAGUAAAGUUAAUACCUUUGCUCAUUGACGUUACCCGCAGAAGAAGCACCGGCUAACUCCGUG